This 1034-nucleotide ribosomal RNA is filed under the name uncultured bacterium. RNAcentral describes it as "bacterial SSU rRNA". It matches the Rfam family "Bacterial small subunit ribosomal RNA", at positions 65 to 1144 of the family's 1533-position model. The record is from RNAcentral.
AACGAAGUAGCAAUACUUAGUGGCAGACGGGUGAGUAACAUGUAGGUAUCUGCCCUUUGGCCUGGAAUAACACGAGGAAACUUGUGCUAAUACCGGAUAAGUCUUUACGGAGAAAGCUUUAUGCACCAUUGGAUGAGCCUGCACUUGAUUAGUUUGUUGGUGGGGUAAUGGCCUACCAAGACUGUGAUCAAUAGCUGAUUUGAGAGGAUGAUCAGCCACAUUGGGACUGAGACACGGCCCAAACUCCUACGGGAGGCAGCAGUGGGGAAUCUUGCACAAUGGAGGAAACUCUGAUGCAGCGAUGCCGCGUGAGUGAAGAAGGCCCUUGGGUUGUAAAGCUCUUUCGUCGGGGGAGAAAAUGACUGUACCCGAAUAAGAAGGUCCGGCUAACUUCGUGCCAGCAGCCGCGGUAAUACGAAGGGACCUAGCGUAGUUCGGAAUUACUGGGCUUAAAGAGUUCGUAGGUGGUUGAAAUAGUUGGUGGUGAAAUCCCAGAGCUUAACUCUGGAACUGCCAUCAAAACUUUUCAGCUAGAGUAUGAUAGAGGAAAGCAGAAUUUCUAGUGUAGAGGUGAAAUUCGUAGAUAUUAGAAAGAAUACCAAUUGCGAAGGCAGCUUUCUGGAUCAUUACUGACACUGAGGAACGAAAGCAUGGGUAGCGAAGAGGAUUAGAUACCCUCGUAGUCCAUGCCGUAAACGAUGUGUGUUAGACGUUGGAAAUUUAUUUUCAGUGUCGCAGGGAAACCGAUAAACACACCGCCUGGGGAGUACGACCGCAAGGUUAAAACUCAAAUGAAUUGACGGGGACCCGCACAAGUAGUGGAGCAUGUGGUUUAAUUCGAAGAUACGCGCAGAACCUUACCAACACUUGACAUGUUCGUCGCGACUCUAAGAGAUUAGAGUUUUCGGUUCGGCCGGACGAAACACAGGUGCUGCAUGGCUGUCGUCAGCUCGUGUCGUGAGAUGUUGGGGUUAAGUCCCGCAACGAGCGCAACCCUCACUUUUAGUUGCCAUCAUUAAGUUGGGCACUCUGAA